AACGAACGCUGGCGGCAUGCCUAACACAUGCAAGUCGAACGAGACCUUCGGGUCUAGUGGCGCACGGGUGCGUCACGCGUGGGAAUCUGCCCUUCGGUUGGGCAUAACUGAGAGAAAUUUCAGCUAAUACCUUAUAAUGUCUUCGGACCAAAGAUUUAUCGCCGAGGGAUGAGCCCGCGUAGGAUUAGGUAGUUGGUAGGGUAAUGGCCUACCACGCCGUCGAUCCUUAGCUGGUCUGAGAGGAUGAUCAGCCACACUGGGACUGAGACACGGCCCAGACUCCUACGGGAGGCAGCAGUGGGGAAUAGUGGACAGUGGGCGAAAGCCUGAUGCAGCAAGGCCGCGAGAGUGAUGAAGGCCUUAGGGUUGUAAAGCUCUUUUACCCGGGAUGAUAAUGACAGUACCGGGAGAAUAAGCCCCGGCUAACUCCGUG
RNAcentral lists this ribosomal RNA (433 nucleotides) under uncultured bacterium. RNAcentral's name for it is "partial 16S ribosomal RNA". It matches the Rfam family "Bacterial small subunit ribosomal RNA", at positions 29 to 507 of the family's 1533-position model. The record is from RNAcentral.